RNAcentral lists this ribosomal RNA (467 nucleotides) under uncultured bacterium. Its description in RNAcentral is "partial 16S ribosomal RNA". It matches the Rfam family "Bacterial small subunit ribosomal RNA", at positions 29 to 507 of the family's 1533-position model. The record is from RNAcentral.
ACGCACGCUGGCGGCGUGCUUAACACAUGCAAGUCGCACGGAAAGGCCCUGCUUUUGUGGGGUGCUCGAGUGGCGAACGGGUGAGUAACACGUGAGUAACCUGCCCUUGACUUUGGGAUAACUUCAGGAAACUGGGGCUAAUACCGGAUAGGAGCUCCUGCUGCAUGGUGGGGGUUGGAAAGUUUCGGCGGUUGGGGAUGGACUCGCGGCUUAUCAGCUUGUUGGUGGGGUAGUGGCUUACCAAGGCUUUGACGGGUAGCCGGCCUGAGAGGGUGACCGGCCACAUUGGGACUGAGAUACGGCCCAGACUCCUACGGGAGGCAGUAGUGGGGAAUAUUGCACAAUGGGCGGAAGCCUGAUGCAGCAACGCCGCGUGCGGGAUGACGGCCUUCGGGUUGUAAACCGCUUUCGCCUGUGACGAAGCGUGAGUGACGGUAAUGGGUAAAGAAGCACCGGCUAACUACGUG